Nylanderia fulva is the source of this 2703-nucleotide long non-coding RNA. RefSeq lists it as uncharacterized. The record is from RefSeq and is a predicted model, not a curated record. Lineage: Eukaryota; Metazoa; Arthropoda; Insecta; Hymenoptera; Formicidae.
GGCCAUUGCUCAUUAUUGUCGCGCUGGAUGAAUUAGACGGUCCACUUGAACGCCGUUCCCGAUCGUGGCCAACGAUAAGAUUUCGAUCUACUUAAACGUACUCUGUAUAUCUAGUACGUUUCACGCCACGCUGACAAUGAGAUCUCGUCGAGCCCAUAGACGUAUUAAGAUGUCUAUCAUCGAGCCGGCAUCGGGGGAAGCUCCGUUCGAACAGCUGUGGUGAGAGCUGUGUCUUCGAGAUUGCAUAAAUAUCGCACGUGCAUACGAAUUGGCAAUCUUCUGACGUUCAGCUGCUGAUUGUUUUUAUUAGUACGGCAUCAUAUACUCGAUACGUGCGUAAGUUUUAACAAUGGCAGUCUCUCCAUACUUGCGUACGUACGGUCGACACCCUUUACACGUUCCCCUUGCGGAAACGCGACGUCUCCAUGGUUACAACAUUGAAACCCCGCUAGGGGAUGACAAAAUGGAGAGGCGCAAUACUCGGCCCGACAAAAGCGAAGUAGAAUCGAAGAACGCCGUUGACUACCCUCGUAUUUGAAAGGUCGAUUUCUAUAUACAAAGUGCUCCACGUAAUCGCACUUUGCUGAUAAUGCACUCGCUGAUAAUUAAAGCCAUCCUAUAGCAGAGCAAUGUAGCACUUUAACAAAUCAAUUCAGUAUUAAUAUUCAAAGUUAACCAUGGAAAGAAGGGGUAAAAGGAAUAUACGGCGCAAAUCGUAUUUCGGAUUGCCGACAAUGUGAGCCAGGUGAAGAUUACAUCGUGAUUCACGAGGUCUUUCGAUGGUACCCGCAUCGACACUAUCUGUCAUCGGAAACGCUACGAAUCAGGACUACGCACGAAAUGCGAAACGUCACGUUCUUCAACGUCCACCCUAACCGGAACAAUCUCAGCGAUUUUAUCUGACAUUCGACGUUAUGUGGAAACUAAAUAUGACAACUGUCAGAAAAUGGGAAGUCUUCCUGGUGGUUGAUAAACAAAGGAGGAUAAAAUGGCUACCCUUGGUGUAGGAGCAGAUAGUCUAAUCCCGGAUGAGACGACGGCGGAUGUGCGACGACGACGACGGCGACGGAAACGAAGGUAGAAGCGAGAAACAGCGUAGACACAUCUCUCGGAUUACGUCUUAACAAGCUCCACGACGUUCAUUUGUCUUAUCCGCUGCUGCUAAUGCGACAGCAGCUGUUGAAAUGAUUAAUUCGGCGCGAGGACGCCGUCUUGUUCCGCUCCGCCCGAGCAUUCGAUUUUGUCGUCGCAGAUGCGUCGCGGUUAAUCAGCGCAUUGCGGUUAAUCACAGUCGUUGCGAAAUACAAAGCUAAACGAAUAGUGUUUGAAUCUAACUAGAAAUACGACUUUGUAAAAUCUAUAUAACAAUAAUUAUAGAAACAUGUAUCAAGAGAAAUUGUGGCUUUAAACAGUCUAUGGAUUCUACAUUUAACAUAGAAUAUUAUUUUUAAAGACAAAAAUCUAACUGAUAGACUUCGAUAAUUCAAUUUGACAUGUAUAAACGUGUAUUUUAAGAAAAUGAAUCGAUCUGAUUCAAUCUAAUUCUAAACGUUAAUAGACAAUUGCAUAACUGUAAUUAAAUUCAAUGUGUAAGGUGUUCCACCGUACAAUGGUUCAUUGCUCAUAAGAGAAACCCUACGUGCGAUCGCUCGCACCCUGUCCAAACAAAUAGAAGCGAGCGCGCGGCAAUCUAAUUGGAUUAAUUUUCAAUUUGUCGAGGCCACCUGUCGUCGCGAUGCACCGAUCGCGCGUACCGAUCGAUGACUAAUCCGCGAGAACGAGGAAACUCACGGACGAGACACUGUCGAGCGCGGUCGGGGCGGAUUAUUAGAGUUGCGCGUAGAGGAACAAAGAGGCGCAAAGCGACAAUUGUGCCUCAUCGCGCGGAUAUAGAGUUACAGACGUGCGAGCGGAGAAAAUGAGCGGCGAAUAUUAAGCCGGCGUAGCAAAAUGGCCGACUGGGCGAGAGGAAAAAAUAGGGACGCACUAGAUCUCUCUUUCUCUCGUUCGUCACACGACGAGCGGUGGAGACACGUAAUGAACACUCGGCUCCACACACUCCGCUCGUCGGGUUACGACGUGACGCGGGUCGAAAUUUUGCCGCGUCGCUAACGCAUGCGUGACACGCGCCGAUCGAAAGCCCCGCCCGGUCAUUCUGCCUUUGUUUAAUUCACGCAGUAUCUACGCCCACGAUAACAGUAAUGUAACUAGAAGGUUUUGUAAACCUCGCUAAAGAAUGCCUUUAAAAAAUUUUAAACAAACAUGAGAUACAUCUCUAAAGAUAUAACUCUAAAAGAGAAAACCAUAUAAUUCAAAAUAAGAAUUCUACUCUAUGAUCUUGGGCAAAGAUUCAAUAUUUAAAAGUUGAAUGAAGUGAUUAUCUGACUUCUUUAUCAUUCAAUUAUAUUAAUUUAUAUUGUAGCGCAUCUGAAUGAACAUGUGUAUGUGCUCUGCAUAUGUUACACUAUUAUAAAAUUCAUAGAAAUAAAGGCAUACAUCGAGAUUAAUGUCAUCCAAUAUGUAAAUUAUACAAUAUUGAAAACAAGGUCUUUUUUAAAGGUAUUCUCUCUGUUACUGUUUAUAAUGCGACCGAUACAAUACGACCUAUAAUUAUUGUUUCUAUUCAUUUCCAAUCAAAUGAGAAAAAUAGAAUUAUAUUAAUUUCUUUUUUCUGACAAUGUGAUAUGUUGUUUAUAAGUUAAC